This 93-nucleotide transfer RNA is filed under the name Delftia acidovorans. Its description in RNAcentral is "tRNA-Ser". It matches the Rfam family "tRNA". Rfam says of the family: Transfer RNA (tRNA) molecules are approximately 80 nucleotides in length. Their secondary structure includes four short double-helical elements and three loops (D, anti-codon, and T loops). The record is from RNAcentral. Lineage: Bacteria; Pseudomonadati; Pseudomonadota; Betaproteobacteria; Burkholderiales; Comamonadaceae.
GGAAACGUGACCGAGUGGCCGAAGGUGCUCCCCUGCUAAGGGCGUAUGGGGUGUAGAGCCUCAUCGAGGGUUCGAAUCCCUCCGUUUCCGCCA